RNAcentral lists this transfer RNA (73 nucleotides) under Stylonychia lemnae. It matches the Rfam family "tRNA". Rfam says of the family: Transfer RNA (tRNA) molecules are approximately 80 nucleotides in length. Their secondary structure includes four short double-helical elements and three loops (D, anti-codon, and T loops). The record is from Rfam by way of RNAcentral. Lineage: Eukaryota; Ciliophora; Spirotrichea; Sporadotrichida; Oxytrichidae.
GCUCGCGUAGCUCAGUUGGUAGAGCGCUCGGCUGUUAACCGAAAGGUCGGUGGUUCGAACCCACCCGUGAGCG